This 264-nucleotide ribosomal RNA is filed under the name uncultured prokaryote. Its description in RNAcentral is "partial 16S ribosomal RNA". It matches the Rfam family "Bacterial small subunit ribosomal RNA", at positions 524 to 789 of the family's 1533-position model. The record is from RNAcentral.
CACGUAGGGGCGAGCGUUGUCCGGAAUUACUGGGCGUAAAGGGCGCGCAGGCUGUUAUGCGAGUCUGCUGUGAAAGCCCGGGGCUCAACCGCGGGACUGCAUCGGAUACUGUGGAUCUGGAGUGCCGGAGGGGCAAGCGGAAUUCCCGGUGUAGUGGUGAAAUGCGUAGAGAUCGGGAGGAACACCUGUGGCGAAGGCGGCCAGCUGGGAUACACCUGACGCUGAGAUGCGAAGGCGUGGGGAGCGAACGGGAUUAGAUACCCG